Gossypium raimondii (Peruvian cotton) is the source of this 3743-nucleotide long non-coding RNA. RefSeq lists it as uncharacterized. The transcript is spliced from 4 exons. Lineage: Eukaryota; Viridiplantae; Streptophyta; Magnoliopsida; Malvales; Malvaceae. The record is from RefSeq and is a predicted model, not a curated record.
UAAACAAAAUCAGCCCCAAUCAAAUCUUAAGACGGCUGGCAUCCAUUUCUUUCGUGUAGUCAAAUCAUUCUCCAGCCAUCUGACGAUAGCACUUCCCCAAGAAAGAUAAUAUCUUUUGCUAUCUGUUUUGAAUUCAUCCAUUCCAUUCUCUCCUUCAGUCCGAUUUUCUUGGUUCUCUCCUUUUUCAGUCAAACACAUACCGAUCCAGAUCUGCUCCUAUCAGGUAAAUACUCUCAUCUCUAUCAAUGGCUCUUCUAGCCAACUUAUGCGCGUUCGAAUUUUCUGAUCUAUGAAUAUGUUGAAAAUUAAGAUCUUGAAAACAUGAUUUCUUGCUGUGAAUAUCACUAAUAAUUGCCCCAAUCACUGAUUUAUCUAUUGAAAUUUUCUGACAUUUGUUGAUGACUGUCUUGGAGUCCCCCGUGAUUUUUAUUGAUGGCAUUCGAAGAGCGAUUCCUAAUUUCAUACUUUCCAAACAAGCGUACGCCUCUGCUGCAAACGCGGAGGAAACCUUCUUAUGUAUCACCGUCUUUAGCAUCAAUAAAUCUCCAUUUUGGUCCCACCCUACCAGCCCUGAUGCUGACUUGAAGCUUCGCUUGUCAAAAGCUGCAUCAAACUGGAUCGCUGCUUUUGACCCAGAUCGUCCAUAAAGCAUAACAAAACAGUCGACAUUGAGCAUCAUUUCCUUUCUGGAAAACCCAGGACAGUCUCGGAACACAUGGAUACUUUCUUCAGGCCAGGAUCGACAUCGGGGGCAUUCCUCAUUAGCAAUAACUUUCCUGCAUCUGAGAUUAACAAAAUUAGGGAUAUAAUCCCAAGAUAUUCUCCAAAUAGUCAUUGUAAUUUUUGGGGGAAGUUGUAAUCCCCAUAAUUUCCUGUAAAAGUUCUUAGAUUCGGUCUGUAACAAGUAAUCAGUAGGAUUAAGAGUAGCCUCUUGUAAUAGUUUAUACGCGCUACGAACAGAAAAUUCCCCGGAUAAUUCUCCCCUCCAAACUUGGAUGUCAUCAUGCUCAGUCUCGGCUAACGGCAUCUAUAAUAUUUUCUGGGCUGUUUCGACUUGAAAGCUCUAUCAAUUCCUAGAAUCCAAUUAUCCUCCCAAAUAGAGAUUUUGUCUCCCCUGCCUACUCUCCAGCACAGUCCUUGUUUGAGUAAACCUUUUGCUGCCCAAAUGCUCCGCCAGGUGAGUGAAGGUAAAUUUCCCAGCUCUGCCUUAAGAAAACAUGAUCGUGGAUAAUAUUUAGCUUUCAUAACUUUGGCUAAUAACGAAUUUGGAAAAUUAAGAAGUCGCCAACCUUGUUUUGCCAAUAACGGUACAUUAAAUUGAGCAAGAUUUCUAAAACCUAAUCCACCGUUUUCUUUUAAGGAACAAAUAUUUUUCCACGUACAGCAAUGGAUACCCUUUUUUCCAUGUCCUUUCUGCCACCAGAACUUGGCUAUAAUACUCUCCAUAUCUUCACAAAGUGCUUUGGGUAAUAAGAAACAUGCCAUCGAGUAAGUCGGAAUAGCCUGAAGGACAACCUUGAUAAAAAAUUCCUUCCCUCCCUGCGAUAAUAGCCUUAAGCUCCAAUGAUCAAUACAUUUUUUGAGUUUGUCUUUCAAAUUCUGAAAUGAUGCUUUUUUCUUUCGACCCACCAUUAUAGGCAGCCCUAGGUACCGUUCUGGUUCAUUAGAGCUUCGUACCCCCAAGAUAUUAACAACUUGUCUCUUCUCUUCCUCCUUCGUAUUCUUACUGAUUUUUCAAAAUUUACCCACUGCCCUGAGCAUGACUUGUAUUCGCGUAGAAUAUUCUUGAAAAAGUUGGCUCCCCUAUCUGUUGCUUCACCAAACAAAAUGCAAUCAUCAGCAAAAAAUAAGUGAGAUAUCUGCGGACCAUUUCUGCUGAUCCUUACUCCCUUUAAAACACCUUUGGAUGUUGCUAAUCUCAGCAGGCUUGACAGCCCUUCGCCACAUAAAAGGAACAAAAACGGGCUAAGUGGGUCCCCUUGCCUGAUUCCUCUAGUUGGGCAGAAUUUUUCUCCAAUAUAUCCGUUAAUAAUAACUGAGUAAGAAACUGAAGUAACACACUGCAUAAUAAGAUUUACCCAUCUUUGGUCAAACCUCAUCUGUAGCAUAAUCCUGUUCAAGAAACCCCACUCCACUCUGUCAAAAGCUUUACUCAUAUCAAGCUUAACAGCCAUAUACCCUUUCUUCCCCAAUCUCUUUUGCUUUAACUUGUGCAUUAUUUCAUAAGCAAGUAGCACAUUAUCUGAGAUCAGCCGUCCUGGCACAAAAGCACUUUGCGCCUCAUCAACACAUUUUCCAAUAACUCCACUCAGUCGAUUUGCAAUAACCUUUGCAAUGAUUUUAUAGAGAACAUUACAUAGGCUAAUUGGCCUGAAUUGGGACAUCUGAGAUGGGCUAGGAAUUUUUGGGAUAAGGACUAUAUUUGUAGAAUUGACUGGACUUACCUCCCUAACGCCAUUUAAGAUCUGUAAGCAAAAAGUGGUUAUAUCAUCCCCAAAAAUUUUCCAACACUUUUGAUAAAAGAGGGCUGGGAUUCCAUCUUCUCCUGGUGCCUUCGUUGGUCCCAUGGCAAAAACUGCAUUCAUAACUUCCUCUUUGGUGUAAACUGCUGUCAACAUUUGAUUAUCUUCCUCAUAAAUGUGGUCGCACUCCCCCAUUCCUUCUGUUGAAAACAGCUUAUUAAAAUAUGACCGUGCUAUACCUUCCAUGUCGUGCAAUUCCCCUAUUUCUCUACCAUCUUCAUUUUGUAGUCCACGAAUGAGAUUCUUGCUCCUUUGUGAUGCUCGACCAUGAAAAAAAGAUGUGUUCCUGUCCCCAUACCUUAUCCAAUCGAUUCGGGCCCUUUGUUCCCAGUAGCAUUCUUCUUUUUCAAGCUCAAAAUUUAAAUUAAUUUUUGUAUCAAUCAGUUCCUCCAAAGUCUUAUCAUCUCUUUCCUCCUCAGCCAGCUCCGUUAGUUUUCUCAUGAGAAUUUGCUUUGCCUUCUCUAUUUUGGAUUUUCUUAGCCCACCUUUGUAGUCCAUUUUUCAAAAAGUCCAGUUUCUGAAUCAGCUCUCCUGAUGCGUUCUCCCACAAAUUCCUUACUUCAUCUUCAAAAGACUCUUCAAGGGACCACCACGCUUCAAACUUAAAACUGUAGCUCAUUCUUUCAUCAUACCUCCUUGUGUUCAUAAGGAGUGGACAAUGAUCUGACAUCGAAUGCACUAAAUGUUGAACUCUUACUGCUUGGAACCAGUUAAUCCAUGCCGCGUUUGCAACUCCUCUAUCUAAUCUUUCUCGUAUGUUAGUCUCCGGCAAAUUUCUUCUUUCCCAAGUAAACCAGCUACCUUCAUAGCCCACAUCGUACAAUUGACAUUCCUCGAGCACUCUUCGGAACAAUUCCAUUCUCCUCUCAUCUCUAGGCAAUCCUCCUUUCUUCUCGGCUGCAUACAUGAUUUCAUUGAAGUCACCCAUAACAAACCAUGGAAGAUCCAUAUUAGUAGCUAGGUUUUUCAAUACGGCCCAUGAUUCGCUCCGAUCCUGUGUAUAAGGGGAUACAUAGAAGCCUGUAAAUCAAAAUUGGCGACAAAAACAUAAAAACGAAUAAAGAAAAAAAAAUCGUGCCAGGCGGCGGCAGACCUAAAACGUGCUAGGGUAGCAGACCAUUAUGGUUGUAAAUUAUUUUGAUGCUAAGAUAUGUGUAAUUAUCAAAAUAAUGGAGUCUUAUGAAUAUAUUUUUAAAAAUAAAGAAUUAUCAUUUAUUUUUA